Molecule: unclassified non-coding RNA, 1148 nt
Filed under: Lingula anatina
Lineage: Eukaryota; Metazoa; Brachiopoda; Lingulata; Lingulida; Lingulidae
Description: uncharacterized LOC106167200, transcript variant X1
Source: RNAcentral
CCGGGCGUUAGAUGUUGUUGAUCACAUGCAGUAUUAUAAAGGGGUCUGUAAGGUUACACCUGAUUUGUACCUGUUUGUCAUCGAUUUAUUGACGCUUCUCUGAUGGUAGCAAACGCAGGGCGCCUAGACACUCUCCUCCAGACCACCACACAUGAUGUGAAGUUCUACGUGGUUCUUGUUUUACUUAUAAUGUGUGUGGUACUACAGCUGAUUUUGGCCUGGAUGCUUUGGUUCAAUUCGAUGUACGGUAAGAUUGAGCCCGGUCCGGUUCCUACACUGGAAGACUGUCUCAGUGAUGCUGAACUGUUCGAACAAGCACAAAAAAGACGCGCAAAGAGAAUUAACAACAGAGAUAUCGCCAAAAAACUCGAUGACGGUGCGGACCUCGCUCUACUUUUUAUACUUAUUCUCAAUAUUUUCAUCACAGCAUUUGGAGCCAAAGGGUCUUGAACAUCAUUAUGUACGCUGACGUUACGGUACGUACGGCUAAUUGACUGGAUGUUCAUUCCAAUUUACAGUAAACCUUCCAUUUUUGAAUAGGAGACAAUCUUGCCAGCUGGUUGCAUCUGGGCCGCUAACGCGACACUCAGCGUUUUAAGCUAUGUAACAUUGUCAAAUUUGAACUAUUGUGUGAUUUUAUUUCAUUUACAUUUUUGUUUUAUUUCUCAUUGUGAUUUGUACUUUGCCAAACAACUUCACAUAGAAGUCCAAAAUGAAACUGAAUUUUUAAGCGUGCAUCAGAAGCUUUAAAUAUUGCAUAAGGCCUCGUGGAAUGUCAUAUACUUGUAGGUCUAAUAUUAAUUGCCAAUGCAAAAUCUCUAUUUUUCCUAAAAAUCAAUUGUAUUCAUUAUUUUGUUGUUUUUUUUUUGGCGAAACCUUCACGAGUUAACAGUUUGACAUCUACCAAAGGAGGUCACUACUUGGGGGUGUAUCGCACAGCACAUAACUAGUUCAGAUUUGAUGCAAACGAUUCUACAUAUAGAUUUGACUGUUGUGUGUUUUCUGUUUUUUUUUCGUUUUGCAAAAAAAUAAAAUAAAUAAAUAAAUAAAAAAAUAACACUUCAUGUGAUCAAAACCAGUCUUAUUCAGGCAAUCUUUAGAUGCCAUGUUUCUGUUGUGCAAAUAAAAUGAGAUUUCGUUUUGAAGAA